CACCGACCCGGCAACGGGGCGGGAUGAGGUGGGAGAAGUCAGCCGAGGCCGUAGUAGUCGGUAGCCACCGACGAAGGGC
Non-coding RNA from Singulisphaera acidiphila DSM 18658, 79 nucleotides. The record is from Rfam. Lineage: Bacteria; Pseudomonadati; Planctomycetota; Planctomycetia; Isosphaerales; Isosphaeraceae.